GCCGGUGUGGCUCAGUGGUGAGAGCGUCGGCCCGCACACCGAAGGGUCACUGGUCUGAUUCCCAGUCAAGGGCA
Molecule: transfer RNA, 74 nt
Filed under: Myotis lucifugus (little brown bat)
Lineage: Eukaryota; Metazoa; Chordata; Mammalia; Chiroptera; Vespertilionidae
Rfam family: tRNA
About the family: Transfer RNA (tRNA) molecules are approximately 80 nucleotides in length. Their secondary structure includes four short double-helical elements and three loops (D, anti-codon, and T loops).
Source: Rfam by way of RNAcentral